GGAAGAGUGGUGGGGGCAGGUCUGCAGGUUAGUCUGAAAAACUAAAGGUAUAGGUUCGAUUCCUGUCUGCUCCA
Molecule: transfer RNA, 74 nt
Filed under: Chryseobacterium sp. 5_R23647
Lineage: Bacteria; Pseudomonadati; Bacteroidota; Flavobacteriia; Flavobacteriales; Weeksellaceae
Description: tRNA-Phe
Rfam family: tRNA (bases 13-74)
About the family: Transfer RNA (tRNA) molecules are approximately 80 nucleotides in length. Their secondary structure includes four short double-helical elements and three loops (D, anti-codon, and T loops).
Source: RNAcentral